GAAAUGCGAUAAGUAAUGUGAAUUGCAGAAUUCAGUGAAUCAUCGAAUCUUUGAACGCACCUUGCGCUCCUUGGUAUUCCGAGGAGCAUGCCUGUUUGAGUGUCAUGGAAUUCUCAACUCUAUUUGCUUUUGUGAAUAGAGCUUGGAUUUGGAGGUUUAUUGCUGGUACUUGUGAUCGGCUCCUCUUGAAUGCAUUAGCUCGAACCUUUGCGGAUCAACUAUCGGUGUGAUAAUUGUCUACGCCGUUGCAGUGAAGCAUAUCAAUGGGCUCGGCUUCCAAUCGUCCUUUACUGGACAAUGACUGUGACCUUUGACCUCAAAUCAGGUAGGAUUACCCGCUGAACUUAAGC
RNAcentral lists this unclassified non-coding RNA (350 nucleotides) under plant metagenome. Its description in RNAcentral is "partial contains 5.8S ribosomal RNA, internal transcribed spacer 2, and large subunit ribosomal RNA". The stretch from base 1 to 105 matches the Rfam family "5.8S ribosomal RNA", at positions 50 to 154 of the family's 154-position model. The record is from RNAcentral.